CACCCAGAAACCCUAGCCUCCCUUCCUCCUCCCUUGCGCCGCCAUCCUCUCCAACCUCCCUGUCUAUUUCUUCACGAACAAGGAGAGCCCAAAGCGUGCGCCUCUCAGACCACCAUGGAGCCGCCGCUACAGACAACCCCGCGCCCAACCGAGAGUACCAGAAGAUGCGCCUCCUCCUCCUCAUCAUCCCCAACCAAGGAAUCGAACCGAAACCUCUCCAAUCGCCCGCAAAAUCGCCGAUUUCGUCCCCAUGCUGACGGCGUCUUCUUCAAAAUCCGGCGUCAUUCGACCUCCCCUUGCCCGUCCGAGCUCACCAACGUGUUCCUGGUGAGAAGGAGAAUCUCCCAGACCUCUUCUUGAAUUUUUUCCUAGCCUGUACUCCGUGCUGCCGGCGUUCACCGUCGCUUUUGCUAGCAGAUGAUCAUCGUCGGGUUUCCUCCGACGGUUCCCCAACGCCAAGACCUCCACCAACGAACUCCCCUUGGUCUUCCACUUCGAACGCGCAGACUCCCGCAUCCAGGCGCACGUUCCGCUGCCAGAUCGAGGAUCGAUCUGCAACAUGGUUGCCACCGUCAAGUCCGGCCUGCACUACUUCAUCUCGUCGCGUUUCUGCUACUGUUCACCAAUCCUCUACCAGCCCACUGAUCUAGUGCUGGGCCUUGGCCCGUAUCUCUCCCGGUGUAUCCAUCGCCCAGCGCGCAGCAGGCCGCUAUCCUCCGCUGCCUCUACGCAGCAUUUGCUUCUUCUCGGAUAGGAUCGCGAAGUGGUGCGGUGAGAUACGACGAGUUCUCCGGAUGUCCCUCGACAGCUUUAACAGGCAAGCAUUUCCCUUAUACUCCUGUCCCUGCAGGAGUCGCUCACCUAUUUUAUUUUGCCUUCUCCCUCAUGCUAUCCUUAAGUUGCGUUCUUGUCACGUGUCCCUUCCACUUGUUACCUCAAGCAGCCUAUAUUGCCUCCACCAACCACCUACAGCUAUUGUUUGGUUAUCGGGUCUGCCUUGCGAGUCGUAGUGCAUGCUAGUGUUGUUUAUAUCUCGUUACCGUUACUGCUAUCUUAUCAGGUUAUCUGUUGGGGAACAUGACACAUGGUUUAUGGAUAUAUCUGUUGAGGGUAUCAUGGUUACUUGUUGAUAGUUGUUAGCGGAGACAUCGGUGGGUCAGUUGCUCGUUUUAUGACGGCUCACUUGUGUUUUCCAUGAAAUCUAGGAUCCCGAGUUCUUGUUAUCUGUUCCGAGACUGAGCGCUCUAACCACACGUGGGUAUGCUUAUGGGUCUCCCCUUGACCACUGCCGGAAUCUACAGCUUUGUCCAGUGGCCACAACUAGUUUGUAAUGUUUUACCAUUUGUUGUUUGCGUGCAUGCCAGCUUGUUACUUAUUUACUUUGGGAAGCCCCUGGGUGCCUUGUAUCCCUUGUUUCUGGUAUGCACGUAUAGGUGUGGCACGUGCGUUUAUCGCAUGCUGAAGCGGGUCAUUCGCCCCAGUGUGUGUUUUGACCCUCUAAAGCCGUCCUCGCAAUAGCUAAGUCCGCUUUGGAGAUACGGCCGAACUUCGAUACGGGUUCAACUUAGUUAGGUGGCUUCCUGGACAUUGUUGUCGUGAAGGAGAUUGCGAGCCGUGAUAACCACCUGUCGUAAGUGGAUUGAGCGGUGCGUGUGGGUACAUUUGGGCAACCCCUGCAGGGUGUACAUCUUAUCGAUAAGCUGUGUCCGCGGUUAUGGACGACUUGGAGUUGUAUGACUCGACCAUAGACAACUUACACCUUGUGUUUCAAUCAUAAUAACUUGUGUAGUUAGUUAGCACAACUCUAAUAAUAAAUGGUUAAAACUUGACAACCAUGUGAGUGCCUUUGUAAGUACUUCUUGGCGAAGGGGGAACGCAUCGGCUGUGUUAUGUUUGCAGAGUAUAGAACUGUUAGUUUAUGCGCUCUCGCCCCUUCUCUGGUAGACGAAUGUUGUAGAGUGUCUCUAUAGGUUUUUAGUGCUUGCGCGUUGCCGCUUAACCCCACCAUAUUGCCUAUGACGUUCCUCUUGCGUCCUCUAAGUCCCCUGCGUGCCUCAAGUACAAAGGACGAUCAGGUUGAUGAAUGCUUAUACGUCUUGAAGUCUUGUUAAGUACGAACCGUACUUAUUGCUGCUUCUACGGGAUAUAACCGGGCAGGUAUGAAGAUAUGUUCGAUGAAGACGACGCUAGCAAGGUUACCCUUCCGGCUUGGCCUUGGCAGGGUUAUGGACGCCAUUGAUUAUCUUCAGGACUCUUAGUCCAAUUUGUAUCUUGUCCGUACUCGGACAUAUUUGAUCUUCUGUAUGAUUUGGAUCUUGAGUUGUAUAUUUGUAUCUUGACUCGUUGGAGUCGUUGUUGUAAUAUAUGUUUCUUGUGGGCUC
Long non-coding RNA from Lolium perenne, 2381 nucleotides. RefSeq lists it as uncharacterized. Lineage: Eukaryota; Viridiplantae; Streptophyta; Magnoliopsida; Poales; Poaceae. The record is from RefSeq and is a predicted model, not a curated record.